GGAAGGGGGGCAGCUACACAUGCAGUCGAGCGAGAACUUCGGUUCUAGCGGCGGACGGGUUAGUAACGCGUGGGAACGUGCCCUUCACUACGGAAUAGUCCCGGGAAACUGGGUUUAAUACCGUAUACGCCCUUCGGGGGAAAGAAUUUCGGUGAAGGAUCGGCCCGCGUUAGAUUAGAUAGUUGGUGGGGUAACGGCCUACCAAGUCUACGAUCUAUAGCUGGUUUUAGAGGAUGAUCAGCAACACUGGGACUGAGACACGGCCCAGACUCCUACGGGAGGCAGCAGUGGGGAAUCUUAGACAAUGGGCGCAAGCCUGAUCUAGCCAUGCCGCGUGAGUGAUGAAGGCCUUAGGGUCGUAAAGCUCUUUCGCCAGGGAUGAUAAUGACAGUACCUGGUAAAGAAACCCCGGCUAACUCCGUGCCAGCAGCCGCGGUAAUACGGAGGGGGUUAGCGUUGUUCGGAAUUACUGGGCGUAAAGCGCGCGUAGGCGGAUUGGAAAGUUGGGGGUGAAAUCCCAGGGCUCAACCCUGGAACUGCCUCCAAAACUAUCAGUCUAGAGUUCGAGAGAGGUGAGUGGAACUCCGAGUGUAGAGGUGAAAUUCGUAGAUAUUCGGAAGAACACCAGUGGCGAAGGCGGCUCACUGGCUCGAUACUGACGCUGAGGUGCGAAAGUGUGGGGAGCAAACAGGAUUAGAUACCCUGGUAGU
This 710-nucleotide ribosomal RNA is filed under the name Roseovarius sp. RNAcentral's name for it is "bacterial SSU rRNA". It matches the Rfam family "Bacterial small subunit ribosomal RNA", at positions 38 to 794 of the family's 1533-position model. Lineage: Bacteria; Pseudomonadati; Pseudomonadota; Alphaproteobacteria; Rhodobacterales; Roseobacteraceae. The record is from RNAcentral.